Long non-coding RNA from Pollicipes pollicipes, 573 nucleotides. RefSeq lists it as uncharacterized. The record is from RefSeq and is a predicted model, not a curated record. Lineage: Eukaryota; Metazoa; Arthropoda; Thecostraca; Pollicipedomorpha; Pollicipedidae. The transcript has 5 exons.
CGUUGGUUGGUGGGAACUGAAAUCGGGCGGUUGGCGCUUCUCUAGUGGCAGCAUGUCCCACCGGCUGUGGAAGCGUUAUGCCCUAGUGGAACCCGAGGCACCAUGUGGAGAGUCACAGGAAGAAGCUCGACUUCGGGUCAAGCUUCUUGCUUGCAAACAGCUUCGUAAACAUGUGUCGCGCUCCGAGCGGGACGUGGCCGAUCGGUUUCAGCCAGCUGCUGCCGAGUGGGAGAGGGACGGAAGCUCCAGUUACUCCCUUGACCGCCAGGUGUCACCGGUCUUCAACCGGCCUUUUGGCAGGUCAGGUCGGCUGCUCAGUCCCUCCGACCUUGACCUGGGUCGGGAUCGGUCUCACAGCCCAGCUCGUAAAGUGCGUCUAUAUCACGUGACCGAUAUAGCCGAACUGAAAGACAGACUAUCCGGGUCACGUCACGAGGACCACGCCGAGGCGUACCACUCGCUGGCACGUGACCACCUGAGGUCCCGUCCGUCCGACUCGCCGCCGGCCCGCGCGAGAUCACGUGACGGCCGCCGGAGGCGCUCUAGCUCGCCGGUGCACCGAAGCCGGUCCGC